Molecule: ribosomal RNA, 468 nt
Filed under: uncultured bacterium
Lineage: Bacteria
Description: partial 16S ribosomal RNA
Rfam family: Bacterial small subunit ribosomal RNA
Source: RNAcentral
GACGAACGCUGGCGGCGUGCUUAACACAUGCCAGUCGAACGGAAAGGCCCUGCUUUUGUGGGGUGCUCGAGUGGCGAACGGGUGAGUAACACGUGAGUAACCUGCCCUUGACUUUGGGAUAACUUCAGGAAACUGGGGCUAAUACCGGAUAGGAGCUCCUGCUGCAUGGUGGGGGUUGGAAAGUUUCGGCGGUUGGGGAUGGACUCGCGGCUUAUCAGCUUGUUGGUGGGGUAGUGGCUUACCAAGGCUUUGACGGGUAGCCGGCCUGAGAGGGUGACCGGACACAUUGGGACUGAGAUACGGCGCAGACUCCUACGGGAGGCAGCAGUGGGGAAUAUUGCACAAUGGGCGGAAGCCUGAUGCAGCAACGCCGCGUGCGGGAUGACGGCCUUCGGGUUGUAAACCGCUUUCGCCUGUGACGAAGCGUGAGUGACGGUAAUGGGUAAAGAAGCACCGGCUAACUACGUG